UACGAAGGGUGCAAGCGUUACUCGGAAUUACUGGGCGUAAAGCGUGCGUAGGCGGUUUGUUAAGUCCGUUGUGAAAGCCCUGGGCUCAACCUGGGAAUUGCAGUGGAUACUGGCGAGCUAGAGUGCGGUAGAGGAUGGUGGAAUUCCCGGUGUAGCGGUGAAAUGCGUAGAGAUCCGGAAGAACACCGGUGGCGAAGGCGGUUAGCUGGGCAGUAGCUGACACUGAGGCGCGACAGCGUGGGGAGCAAACAGG
Molecule: ribosomal RNA, 253 nt
Filed under: uncultured bacterium
Lineage: Bacteria
Description: partial 16S ribosomal RNA
Rfam family: Bacterial small subunit ribosomal RNA
Source: RNAcentral